CCGGGGUGGAGUAACGCGUGGGUAACCUGCCUCAUACAGGGGGAUAGCAGUUGGAAACGGCUGAUAAUACCGCAUAAGCGCACAGUACCGCAUGGUACAGUGUGAAGAACUCCGGUGGUGUGAGAUGGACCCGCGUCUGAUUAGCUGGUUGGUGAGGUAACGGCCCACCAAGGCGACGAUCAGUAGCCGGCCUGAGAGGGUGAACGGCCACAUUGGGACUGAGACACGGCCCAA
This 234-nucleotide ribosomal RNA is filed under the name uncultured bacterium. RNAcentral's name for it is "partial 16S ribosomal RNA". It matches the Rfam family "Bacterial small subunit ribosomal RNA", at positions 104 to 334 of the family's 1533-position model. The record is from RNAcentral.